AACCUCCGCAAUGUGAGAAAUCGCGACGGGGGGAUCCCAAGUGCCAUUCUUAACGGGAUGGCUUUUCUUAAGUGUAAAAAGCUUUUGGAAUAAGAGUUGGGCAAGACCGGUGCCAGCCGCCGCGGUAACACCGGCAGCUCUAGUGGUAGCUGUUUUUAUUGGGCCUAAAGCGUUCGUAGCCGGUUUGAUAAGUCACUGGUGAAAUCCUGUAGCUUAACUGUGGGAAUUGCUGGUGAUACUGUUGAACUUGAGGUCGGGAGAGGUUAGCGGUACUCCCAGGGUAGAGGUGAAAUUCUGUAAUCCUGGGAGGACCACCUGUGGCGAAGGCGGCUAACUGGAACGAACCUGACGGUGAGGGACGAAAGCUAGGGGCGCGAACCGGAUUAGAUACCCGGGUAGUCCUAGCCGUAAACGAUGCGGACUUGGUGUUGGGAUGGCUUUGAGCCGCUCCGGUGCCGAAGGGAAGCUGUUAAGUCCGCCGCCUGGGAAGUACGGUCGCAAGACUGAAACUUAAAGGAAUU
Molecule: ribosomal RNA, 521 nt
Filed under: uncultured bacterium
Lineage: Bacteria
Description: bacterial SSU rRNA
Rfam family: Archaeal small subunit ribosomal RNA
Source: RNAcentral